UACAGAGGGGGCAAGCGUUGUUCGGAAUUACUGGGCGUAAAGGGCGCGUAGGCGGCCUGUUAAGUCGAACGUGAAAUCCCCGGGCUCAACCCGGGAACUGCGUCCGAUACUGGCAGGCUUGAAUUCGGGAGAGGGAUGCGGAAUUCCAGGUGUAGCGGUGAAAUGCGUAGAUAUCUGGAGGAACACCGGUGGCGAAGGCGGCAUCCUGGACCGAGAUUGACGCUGAUGCGCGAAAGCCAGGGGAGCAAACGGG
This 253-nucleotide ribosomal RNA is filed under the name uncultured bacterium. RNAcentral's name for it is "partial 16S ribosomal RNA". It matches the Rfam family "Bacterial small subunit ribosomal RNA", at positions 524 to 776 of the family's 1533-position model. The record is from RNAcentral.